AACGUUUUGGUCAGCCACACAAAAUCACGAAUGCCUACAUGCAAGCCCUGUUAGACCUUCCCGCACAACAAUACAACCUUAUCAGCCUCCGUAAUUAUUACAAAACAGAGAACUGAUCACGUUAUAGAGUUUCAUGAAAAUAGAAGGGACAACAGAAUCAACAUCCGUGUCGGAGAUAUUGUACAAGUUUAUGACGAAAAACCACGAACUCGGUGGAAAAAAGCAAUUUUCCCAGAUCGUCAAACUUUAUCCGCUAGAGAUCAACAAAGAGGACCUACCAAAUACAGCAGAUGAGACGAAUGAAGUUGAUACCAGAAGAACAGUGCCUAUGCCAGUAUGCGAAAAACAUCUUAAAACUUAUACAAAUUCUUAAACAUUAAUUUUGUGUUCGAUUUGAAAAUCGUUAUAGAGACUGUUAAUUUUCAAUUUUGUCAUAGUGAUUUCAAGAGACAGUAAUUGCCCAUCAUAUUUUUUCGUUUCAUAUAUGGACAUUUAAAGAAAUAUUUGAAUUUCAUACAAAGAUAUACUUUUGCGGCCCCCCAGUAUGUUGAGAAUAUUAUGCAAACGUUAACGUUAUGUUUCCCGUAUUUACGUCUUAUGUUUAUGACGUUACUUUGUACCUUUGUGUGGGCGC
RNAcentral lists this long non-coding RNA (634 nucleotides) under Mytilus galloprovincialis (Mediterranean mussel). Lineage: Eukaryota; Metazoa; Mollusca; Bivalvia; Mytilida; Mytilidae. The record is from RNAcentral.